GCUGGCGGCGCGCUUAACACAUGCAAGUCGAACGAGAAAGGGGAGCAAUCCCUGAGUAAAGUGGCGUACGGGUGAGUAACACGUGGAUGAUCUACCUCUUAGUGGGGGAUAACCCUGGGAAACUGGGGCUAAUACCGCAUAAGCCUGGAAAGGGAAAGGAGCAAUUCGCUGAGAGAGGAGUCCGCGGCUGAUUAGCUAGUUGGUGAGGUAAUGGCUCACCAAGGCAAUGAUCGGUAGCCGGCCUGAGAGGGCACACGGCCACACUGGCACUGAAACACGGGCCAGACUCCUACGGGAGGCAGCAGUGGGGAAUCUUGCACAAUGGGGGCAACCCUGAUGCAGCGACGCCGCGUGAGCGAUGAAGCCCUUCGGGGUGUAAAGCUCUUUCGACGGGAACGAUAAUGACGGUACCCGGAGAAGAAACUGCGGCUAACUACGUGCCAGCAGCCGCGGUAAUACGUAGGCAGCAAGCGUUGUUCGGAGUUACUGGGCGUAAAGAGUGCGUAGGCGGUCCUGUAAGUUUGGUGUGAAAUCUC
RNAcentral lists this ribosomal RNA (536 nucleotides) under uncultured soil bacterium. Its description in RNAcentral is "bacterial SSU rRNA". It matches the Rfam family "Bacterial small subunit ribosomal RNA", at positions 35 to 603 of the family's 1533-position model. The record is from RNAcentral.